UCGCCCUUGAGAGUUUGAUCCUGGCUCAGGAUGAACGCUGGCGGUGUGCCUAAUACAUGCAAGUCGCGCGCACUCCCGUAGAUGAUUUUGAUGCUCUGCAUCAAAUGAUUCUACAUUCGAGUGAGCGGCGGAUGGGUGAGUAACACGUGGGUAACUUGCCCUUGAGUCUGGGAUAGCAUCUGGAAACGGAUGAUAAUACCGGAUAACAACUGAAACCACAUGGUUUCAGUUUGAAAGGCGCGUUUGCGUCGCUCUUGGAGGGACCCGCGGUCCAUUAGUUAGUUGGUAAGAUAAAGGCCUACCAAGACGAUGAUGGAUAGCCGAACUGAGAGGUUAAUCGGCCACAUUGGAACUGAGACACGGUCCAGACUCCUACGGGAGGCAGCAGUAGGGAAUCUUUCACAAUGGGCGAAAGCCUGAUGAAGCAACACCGCGUGAAUGAAGAAGGGUUUCGGCUCGUAAAAUUCUGUUGCUAGAGAAGAACGUACCAAGUAGGAAAUGGCUUGGUAGUGACGGUAUCUGGUUAGAAAGUCACGGCUAACUACGUGCCAGCAGCCGCGGUAAUACGUAGGUGGCAAGCGUUAUCCGGAUUUAUUGGGCGUAAAGCGAGCGCAGGCGGUUGUUUAAGUCCGAUGUGAAAGCCUUCGGCUUAACCGAAGAAGUGCAUUGGAAACUGAGCGACUUGAGUACAGAAGAGGACAGUAGAACACCAUGUGUAGCGGUGAAAUGCGUAGAUAUAUGGUAGAAUACCAGUGGCGAAAGCGGCUGUCUGGUCUGUCACUGACGCUGAGGCUCGAAAGCAUGGGUAGCAAACAGGAUUAGAUACCCUGGUAGUCCAUGCUGUAAACGUUGAGUGCUAGGUGUUAGAGGAUUUCCGUCCUUUAGUGCCGAAGUUAACACAUUAAGCACUCCGCCUGGGGAGUACGACCGCAAGGUUGAAACUCAAAGGAAUUGACGGGGACCCGCACAAGUGGUGGAGCAUGUGGUUUAAUUCGAUGCUACGCGAAGAACCUUACCAGGCCUUGACAUACUUCUGUUAGGCUAAGAGAUUAGCUGUUCCCUUCGGGGACAGAUCUACAGGUGGUGCAUGGUCGUCGUCAGCUCGUGUCGUGAGAUGUUGGGUCAAGUCCCGCAACGAGCACAACCCUUGUGACUAGUUGCCAGCAUUCAGUUGGGCACUCUAGUCAGACUGCCGGUGAUAAACCGGAGGAAGGUGAGGAUGACGUCUGAUCAUCAUGCCCCUUAUGGCCUGGGCUACACACGUGCUACAAUGGACAGUACAAUGGGUUGCGAAACCGCGAGGUCAAGCUAAUCCCAUAAAGCUGUUCUCAGUUCGGACUGCAGUCUGCAACUCGACUGCACGAAGCUGGAAUCACUAGUAAUCGUGGAUCAGCAUGCCACGGUGAAUACGUUCCCGGGUCUUGUACAUACCGCCCGUCACACCAUGAGAGUCCGUAACACCCAAAGAUAGUGCGGCAACCUCUUUUGAGGAGCCAGCUAUCUAAGGUGGGACGAAUGAUUAGGGUGAAGUCGUAACAAGGUAGCCGUAAAGGGCGACACGCGAAUUCGAUAUCAAGCUUCAGGUCUGCAGUCAAUACGA
This 1600-nucleotide ribosomal RNA is filed under the name Lactobacillus sp. RNAcentral's name for it is "bacterial SSU rRNA". It matches the Rfam family "Bacterial small subunit ribosomal RNA". Lineage: Bacteria; Bacillati; Bacillota; Bacilli; Lactobacillales; Lactobacillaceae. The record is from RNAcentral.